GUUAAUGUAGCUUAAAUAAAGCAUGGCACUGAAGAUGCCAAGAUGAACCGUAAAAGGUUCCAAUAACA
This 68-nucleotide transfer RNA is filed under the name Nessorhamphus ingolfianus (duckbill oceanic eel). RNAcentral's name for it is "tRNA-Phe". It matches the Rfam family "tRNA". Rfam says of the family: Transfer RNA (tRNA) molecules are approximately 80 nucleotides in length. Their secondary structure includes four short double-helical elements and three loops (D, anti-codon, and T loops). Further hydrogen bonds mediate the characteristic L-shaped molecular structure. tRNAs have two regions of fundamental functional importance: the anti-codon, which is responsible for specific mRNA codon recognition, and the 3' end, to which the tRNAs corresponding amino acid is attached (by aminoacyl-tRNA synthetases). tRNAs cope with the degeneracy of the genetic code in two manners: having more than one tRNA (with a specific anti-codon) for a particular amino acid; and 'wobble' base-pairing, i.e. permitting non-standard base-pairing at the 3rd anti-codon position. The record is from RNAcentral. Lineage: Eukaryota; Metazoa; Chordata; Actinopteri; Anguilliformes; Derichthyidae.